CUCUACACCACUUGCAUUAUUUCCCUGAAGUAAAAAAGCCAGUAAGCUCACUUCCAGAAACAGCAUUCCAGAAGAAGUAAACAAGGACAACAAGUUCCAUGUCAGCUCUUUCCCAGGAGUGCACUCCCAUGCCUGAAUUAUCACCAGAACAAAUUCAACCAAAAGGUGAAAAAGGAUAUACAAGUAAAGAAUCGAUUGAAUUCAAUCGUGAGUCAAUGAAUACGUGUUAUAAAUAGCUUCAUAUAGUUGCUACUAUACUUCAACUUAUUUAUAGUAGUCAAUCCCGAAUAGCGGUGCGCAGCAGCCGAUCCCAAAAGUGGGAUAGCAGGAUAGUGUAUAGCGGUAUGACAAAUAGCGGUCACUGAUAUUUGAUUAUUUUGUUGACAAACUACAUGAAUAAUACUAUAAAAUACAAACAAACUUGUAUAUUUCUCAACAAAAAAA
Molecule: long non-coding RNA, 444 nt
Filed under: Medicago truncatula (barrel medic)
Lineage: Eukaryota; Viridiplantae; Streptophyta; Magnoliopsida; Fabales; Fabaceae
Description: lncRNA gene4671
Source: RNAcentral